CCUACGGGUGGCAGCAGUGGGGAAUAUUGCACAAUGGGCGCAAGCCUGAUGCAGCCAUGCCGCGUGUGUGAAGAAGGCCUUCGGGUUGUAAAGCACUUUCAGCGGGGAGGAAGGCGUUAGGGUUAAUAACCUUGGCGAUUGACGUUACCCGCAGAAGAAGCACCGGCUAACUCCGUGCCAGCAGCCGCGGUAAUACGGAGGGUGCAAGCGUUAAUCGGAAUUACUGGGCGUAAAGCGCACGCAGGCGGUCUGUCAAGUCGGAUGUGAAAUCCCCGGGCUCAACCUGGGAACUGCAUUCGAAACUGGCAGGCUAGAGUCUUGUAGAGGGGGGUAGAAUUCCAGGUGUAGCGGUGAAAUGCGUAGAGAUCUGGAGGAAUACCGGUGGCGAAGGCGGCCCCCUGGACAAAGACUGACGCUCAGGUGCGAAAGCGUGGGGAGCAAACAGGAUUAGAUACCCUAGUAGUC
Molecule: ribosomal RNA, 465 nt
Filed under: uncultured Klebsiella sp.
Lineage: Bacteria; Pseudomonadati; Pseudomonadota; Gammaproteobacteria; Enterobacterales; Enterobacteriaceae
Description: bacterial SSU rRNA
Rfam family: Bacterial small subunit ribosomal RNA
Source: RNAcentral